GGGAGAAGAGAAAAAGAAGAGAGAAGAAGAAGAGAAAAGAAGAAAGAAAAGAAGAGAAAAAGAAGAAAGAAAAGAGAGAAGAAGAAAGAGAGAGAAAAUUCAGUGAGCCUCACAUAUUGUAAACUCUAAAGUUGUAGCCCUAUUAUUUUAUAUAGUGAAAAAGUUACUGCUGCUGCUCUCCGAGGACGUAGGCAUAGCCGAACCUCGUUAAAUGCUGUGUCUCAUCUACUUUACGUGCAGCUCAAUAUUCAUACAUAUUCCAGGUUAUUUUUAUAACACGUUACCAGCACGAGAAGCUCUCAGGUAUAAUUUUUGUGCUGCACUAUUAUCUAUACUACUAACCACUAACAAAAAUGGACCCUUGGUAAUACUAAACAUAUUAUCAGUGGGAGACCGUUACUAAUACUAACUUUUUCUUAUUUUAUUCGGUGGUGGUUUUAACCCCACAUUUAUUUACUGUAUGGUGUAGGUUUAUUACCCAUACAUGCACCUUUACUUUAUCGCAAAUUUAUUUUACCGCAUAUUUAUUUUAUUUACUGUAUGGUGUAGGUUUAUUACCCAUACAACAGUAUUUAUUUAAAAGGGUGGUGCGGGUUUAUCGUCCACGCCUUUGCUUUUAUUUAAAUGUAUGGAGCAGAAUUAGUGCCCAUACAAGCACAAUUUACUUUACCGCACAUUUAAUUUUAUUUAAAGUAUGGUGCGGGAUUAACGUCCAUACAGCAAGCAAUUUAAUUUAUGAAUUUAAUUUACCGCACAUUUACAUUUAUUUAAAAGGGUGGUACGGGUUUAUCGUCCACGCCUUUACUUUUAUUUAAAUGUAUGGAGCAGAAUUAAUGCCCAUACAAGCACCUUAACUUUAUGAAUUUAAUUUACCGCACAUUUACAUUUAUUUAAAGUGUGGUGCGGGUUUAUCAUCCAUACCAGUAAUUUAUUUAUCAGCAAUUUAUUUUAUGGAUUAAUUGUGCUGCAUGAUGAGUUUUUCCAGUAUGUAGAUCAGGACCAGAAGUUCCCUGAUCCUCAUCAUACAAUUACAUCAGGACUUGAAGAUCCUUGAUGAUGAUAUUAAAAUGAGAGCUGGCAGUCUCACCGGUACUGUAUUUGUAAACAUGUGAUUGGACUUAAAGGUCCUUGAUCCCUGACAUGUAAAUAAGGACCUAGAGUUCCUUAAUGAUGUAACAGUACCGUAUUGGUUCAUAGUGCCGUACACAUUGAUGAUAACUGUACUGGCAGAUGAAUAAAUACGUAUUCAUGACUUGAUGAAAAGUACUAUUCACAUGAAUAGUGACGUAUGCAUAAAUAUUAACCAUUUUGGGUAAACCGUUACUAUAUACAAAAGGGAACCUGCAGUUCCUUAAACUCAUGGAUGAGCAAUUAAAUGAGAUGCCAGAAGUUCCUCAAAAUAUGAACAAUUAUGUAAGGGCUUGAAGUCCCGAAAUAUGUACAGAAAAUUGUAAAAAUGUCCAUACCAUGAGAAUAUGUGGCUUUGGCCUGAAGUUCCAAAUUUAACAGUGUUGAGAACCUGAAGUUCCAACAAUUAAAUGGACAACCCUUGAGGUAUUAUUGCAAAUUGUGGUAUGCCACAUAUUUCUUUGGCAUAAGAAGAUGAUGAAUUUAAUAAAGUUCGAUUUUGUUAUAAUCGACACCUCAAGGAAGAAAUAUAUUUUGUGAAUUCCGGUUGUUAAGAAUACACCGCGAAAUGGAUAAUAUUAAUAUAAACCUCAAAUAAUGAAUUGAGACUCCCCACAUAUUUUGUUAUAUCUGGGCCGGAAGCCCAUGGAUCCA
Molecule: long non-coding RNA, 1782 nt
Filed under: Prunus persica (peach)
Lineage: Eukaryota; Viridiplantae; Streptophyta; Magnoliopsida; Rosales; Rosaceae
Description: long non-coding RNA (PPER_LNC003030)
Source: RNAcentral